Molecule: ribosomal RNA, 450 nt
Filed under: uncultured bacterium
Lineage: Bacteria
Description: bacterial SSU rRNA
Rfam family: Bacterial small subunit ribosomal RNA
Source: RNAcentral
GUGGGGAAUAUUGGACAAUGGGCGAAAGCCUGAUCCAGCCAUGCCGCGUGUGUGAAGAAGGUCUUCGGAUUGUAAAGCACUUUAAGUUGGGAGGAAGGGCAGUAAGUUAAUACCUUGCUGUUUUGACGUUACCGACAGAAUAAGCACCGGCUAACUUCGUGCCAGCAGCCGCGGUAAUACGAAGGGUGCAAGCGUUAAUCGGAAUUACUGGGCGUAAAGCGCGCGUAGGUGGGUUUGUAAGUUGGAGGUGAAAUCCCCGGGCUCAACCUGGGAACUGCCUCCAAAACUGCAUGACUAGAGUACGGUAGAGGGUAGUGGAAUUUCCUGUGUAGCGGUGAAAUGCGUAGAUAUAGGAAGGAACACCAGUGGCGAAGGCGACUACCUGGACUGAUACUGACACUGAGGUGCGAAAGCGUGGGGAGCAAACAGGAUUAGAAACCCGGGUAGUCC